GACGAACCGAGCGAACGUUGUUCGGAAUCACUGGGCUUAAAGGGCGCGUAGGCGGGCUGUCAAGUCUGGGGUGAAAUCCCGCGGCUCAACCGUGGAACUGCCUUAGAUACUGACGGCCUCGAGGGAGGUAGGGGCGAGCGGAACUGUGAGUGGAGCGGUGAAAUGCGUAGAUAUCGGGAGGAAUACCAGUGGCGAAGGCGGCCUUCUGGACGGAUACUGACGCUGAGGCGCGAAAGCCAGGGGAGCAAACGGG
RNAcentral lists this ribosomal RNA (253 nucleotides) under uncultured bacterium. RNAcentral's name for it is "partial 16S ribosomal RNA". It matches the Rfam family "Bacterial small subunit ribosomal RNA", at positions 524 to 776 of the family's 1533-position model. The record is from RNAcentral.